CCUACGGGUGGCAGCAGUGGGGAAUAUUGGACAAUGGGCGAAAGCCUGAUCCAGCCAUGCCGCGUGUGUGAAGAAGACCUUCGGGUUGUAAAGCACUUUCAGUGGGGAAGAAAGCCUUGGGGCUAAUACCCUCGAGGAAGGACAUCACCCACAGAAGAAGCACCGGCUAACUCCGUGCCAGCAGCCGCGGUAAUACGGAGGGUGCGAGCGUUAAUCGGAAUUACUGGGCGUAAAGCGCGCGUAGGCGGUCUGAUAAGCCGGUUGUGAAAGCCCCGGGCUCAACCUGGGAACGGCAUCCGGAACUGUCAGGCUAGAGUGCAGGAGAGGAAGGUAGAAUUCCCGGUGUAGCGGUGAAAUGCGUAGAGAUCGGGAGGAAUACCAGUGGCGAAGGCGGCCUUCUGGACUGACACUGACGCUGAGGUGCGAAAGCGUGGGUAGCAAACAGGAUUAGAUACCCUGUAGUC
RNAcentral lists this ribosomal RNA (464 nucleotides) under Vreelandella stevensii. Its description in RNAcentral is "partial 16S ribosomal RNA". It matches the Rfam family "Bacterial small subunit ribosomal RNA", at positions 338 to 795 of the family's 1533-position model. The record is from RNAcentral. Lineage: Bacteria; Pseudomonadati; Pseudomonadota; Gammaproteobacteria; Oceanospirillales; Halomonadaceae.